Molecule: long non-coding RNA, 1438 nt
Organism: Cavia porcellus (domestic guinea pig)
Lineage: Eukaryota; Metazoa; Chordata; Mammalia; Rodentia; Caviidae
Exons: 3
Source: RefSeq, a predicted model, not a curated record
CCCAGGAUAGAUAUCUAUAAACAGAAAUAAAGGACUUUUGUAUCUGCAAAAGGACAUUUAGUUUAGAAAGUGAUUUCCUGGGGACACUGUACUAAUCUAGACAGUUUCAUUAGCCAUAAAGACCUGAGAGCCACGAAAGGGGGACACGUAUUGGGGGACACACACAUUCCCCAGCCUGGAGUCCUCAUUCUGUGGUGCAAAGUUUCAUGUCCUCACUCCAUUACAGAAACAGUGAGAAGUUCCAGAACUGAAUCCUGACACAGAGAUGCACACCCAUUGUCUCUUAUUAAGAAGGGCCUGAAAUCCAACAUUCAUGUGUCACAGACUUGGUCCAGUCCAGGGCACUGCUAGUGGAUGGAACGUCAAGGGGUCUGGGGUGGGGAGAGCAUCCCAGGGACUGAGCAUGCAGGAGCCUCCCACCCCUCUCUCUUUGCUUCCCUGAACACCAGGGGAGCUGCUCACCCAUUACUUGCAACCAGGCUAGUUAACCAGGGACGAAGCCCUCCUCGAAACUGGGAAUCCAAGCAAAUCUCUCCUUUGAAGUGCAUGAAUCUCAGGUAUUUGUUAUAGUCAGAGAAAGCCGACUAACAGGGGAGUAAUCGCAGGUGUUGGAAAAGUGUGCUUUCCAUUUCAUGUGCAGUAUGCUAACUAGAUGCUACAAACAGGAAUGAGUGCAGAGAAAAUCUUUGGUUCCUUCACUUUUUCCAUCUCAUUUUGCCUCAGAAAAGAGAGAAUAGUGUGUCUGUGCAGUCAAGUAUCUUGCUUUCCUCUGUAAGGAACUGGGGGUGGGGGUGGGGGGGAAACAGCGACUGGCACCCCUCACAUUCCCUGUCUGCCAGCCCACAGCUACUCACAUCUCUGUAGCCAUCAACUGCAUUCCCAAAAACAUCUCCUGCUAUGUCUCUGCAACCAGGCGGGCAGAAUUUGCUGGAAAAAGAAGAAUAAAGAAUUUAUAUCUUUAUUAAAUUAUACUGAAACAAAAAGUAUUAAACUUACUUAAAUCUUAAAAAUAUUUUCUGUGUUUCACUAUACAGGCAGGAAUAUCUUUAACAAAAAAUCAGAAACCCGAUUUGUGAGCACAGAUUAAUUUGAAAUGUUAAUCUGAAGGUUGACCAGGCCCUGCACUGCUGAGCAAGCUGUGUGAUGCUAGGCGUUCCUUGUAACCCCUAUUGGACCCAUUUUCUUUCUCUCCUGAUCCUUCAAGCAUCACAGUAGUGAAUAUAUGAGGAACAGCUGUAUGCAUUUGUGAAAAACACAUAAGGGAGCUCAGCUAUCAGGGAAGCUCUGAUAGCUUUGAAGGAAAGAACUGCAAGAGGCUCUCCAAAUACCAGUUAGAAAAGUGCGUGUGCUAUUCCACCGUGGCACAGUGGGACUAGGGUCAGUGAUUACGGCCCCGGCUGACGUGCAGCUUGCGACUCGCGUGUAAGCGAAUAAAUGC